RNAcentral lists this long non-coding RNA (1285 nucleotides) under Anas platyrhynchos platyrhynchos (common mallard). Its description in RNAcentral is "lncRNA (ENSAPLG00000026841.1)". The record is from RNAcentral. Lineage: Eukaryota; Metazoa; Chordata; Aves; Anseriformes; Anatidae.
GGUGAGUGCGUGGAGUGCCUGGUCCCUGAGCCCCUGGGGCCGUGGUUCUCCUUGUCUGUGUCUGGCAUGAGAGCAGAUGGGGUCUUUGCCUUGAAAUGAAUCCCUCCCCAAGUCAAGCACCAGCCACGGGCUCUUUCCCCAGCCACAGGAACUGACCCCCACCUCUCCCUGGGGGGCUACGAGGCCGGAGGCGUCCGGGUGCUGUGUCGAUCGGCCGGCUGGUACCCGCUGCCGCAGCUGCUGUGGAGGGAUGCUCGCGGGCAGCACCUGCCCUCGGUCUCCCAGACACAUUCCCAGGACCAGGAGGGGCUCUUUGAAAUCGAAGGUGCCGUCAUCAUGACCGGGAGUGUGGAGGGGCCCUUGUCCUGCGUGGUCAGGAGCAGCCGCCUGCAGCAGGAAUGGGAAUUUUCCCUGCACAUUGCAGCUCCCUUCUUCCACAAUGCCCAGCCCUGGAUGGUGGCUCUGGCUCUGGUCCUGGUGCUUUUGGCUGUGUCCAUUGGCCUCGGUGUUUAUCUAUUUCGAAAGCAAGCGGCACAGAGCCGAGAGCUGGGUGAAUCCUUGCAGUCCCUGCCCCCAACCCUGGGGAAGUGGUGUCUGUGUGGGAGGGCCUAGGCUGGGUGGGCUCAGGGGGCUUGUGUGCUGGUGGCUCGGGGGUGCUGGAGGAGCAGCUGGAGCCUGGGGUGGGAGUGGGGAGUGCUGGGGCUGGGGCUGCCCUGGGCACGGGACACAGCCGGGAUGGCUGAAAGGAGCAGGGAUCAAGGUGGGGACGGGGAGCGAGCUGUGGGGCUGCCCCACUCUGCACUGAUGCUUCUGGGACAGGGACGUCCUCCACCCAUCCCCAUUCACUUCCCCUUGUGUUUUGGUGGCUAGGUGCAGAGAGCUGCAUAAGUGUCUGUUCUUCAAGCUAGAAGUCUUGCAAAAUGCUAGCCCUAGGUCUUUGUUAGUGGGGUCGCUACAAGUCUGGGAGCAAGGUCGUCUGUGCCCAUGCAUGAGAGCAAAAAAUUUGGGGUCUAGCCAUCUAGCCAUGGAAGCAGCAAUGUGGUGAAAGUCUCUCCACUCUGACCAUUCAUUCCUUUUGCUUUUUAUAGCAGCAAAAAAGGAUGCAAAGCUGGGUAAGUCUCCUUCCCCAAAGAGAAGGCAUUUGGUGUCUUACCAUGGGCAUACUCCCAUCUGACAGUACAUUGCUUUUCUUUUUCUUUUCCAGUGGAACAGGCUGCAGAGAUAGGUGAGUGUCCAUCCCUGAACUGGAAGAAUUUGCAGUGUAGACAAUGGAUGAGAAGUUUUU